This 916-nucleotide ribosomal RNA is filed under the name Boeremia exigua var. exigua. RNAcentral describes it as "LSU rRNA". It matches the Rfam family "Eukaryotic large subunit ribosomal RNA", at positions 38 to 968 of the family's 3401-position model. The record is from RNAcentral. Lineage: Eukaryota; Fungi; Ascomycota; Dothideomycetes; Pleosporales; Didymellaceae.
GCAUAUCAAUAAGCGGAGGAAAAGAAACCAACAGGGAUUGCCCUAGUAACGGCCGAGUGAAGCGGCAACAGCUCAAAUUUGAAAUCUGGCGUCUUUGGCGUCCGAGUUGUAAUUUGCAGAGGGCGCUUUGGCAUUGGCAGCGGUCCAAGUUCCUUGGAACAGGACGUCACAGAGGGUGAGAAUCCCGUACGUGGUCGCUAGCCUUUACCGUGUAAAGCCCCUUCGACGAGUCGAGUUGUUUGGGAAUGCAGCUCUAAAUGGGAGGUAAAUUUCUUCUAAAGCUAAAUACUGGCCAGAGACCGAUAGCGCACAAGUAGAGUGAUCGAAAGAUGAAAAGCACUUUGGAAAGAGAGUUAAAAAGCACGUGAAAUUGUUGAAAGGGAAGCGCUUGCAGCCAGACUUGCCUGUAGUUGCUCAUCUAGGUUUCUACCUAGUGCACUCUUCUAUAGGCAGGCCAGCAUCAGUUUGGGCGGUUGGAUAAAGGUCUCUGUCAUGUACCUCUCUUCGGGGAGAACUUAUAGGGGAGACGACAUGCAACCAGCCUGGACUGAGGUCCGCGCAUCUGCUAGGAUGCUGGCGUAAUGGCUGUAAGCGGCCCGUCUUGAAACACGGACCAAGGAGUCUAACAUCUAUGCGAGUGUUUGGGUGUCAAGCCCGAGCGCGUAAUGAAAGUGAACGGAGGUGGGAACCUUUCGGGGUGCACCAUCGACCGAUCCUGAUGUCUUCGGAUGGAUUUGAGUAAGAGCAUAGCUGUUGGGGACCCGAAAGAUGGUGAACUAUGCUUGAAUAGGGUGAAGCCAGAGGAAACUCUGGUGGAGGCUCGCAGCGGUUCUGACGUGCAAAUCGAUCGUCAAAUUUGGGGCAUAGGGGCGAAAGACUAAUCGAACUAUCUAGUAGCUGGUUCCUGCCCGAAGUU